RNAcentral lists this long non-coding RNA (561 nucleotides) under Pan troglodytes (chimpanzee). RNAcentral's name for it is "long non-coding RNA NONPTRT010095". Lineage: Eukaryota; Metazoa; Chordata; Mammalia; Primates; Hominidae. The record is from RNAcentral.
ACAUAAGGGUUUCUACCGAGUUCUACAUUUUUAAAGGGAACCUAGAAAAAGCUAGCAUUGUUCUUAACUUGGAAAUCCAAUACUUUACUUUGUUGUCUCUGAAUUAAGGCUAAAACCCAGGGGCUGUUUCUUGUAGAAGAAUAUGUGCUAAUUAAUUUAUGCACAGUGCUGUGAGAACACUCUAAUGAAGCAGGUAGAAACAAGAUACAGCCCUGCUGGGUAGGGCAGAUCGCUCAGGGAAACCUGUGCAUGAGCCUGCAGCAGUGGGACCUGGUCAGAGUUAGCUGCAAAGAGGUGUCUUUCCGGUAGCGCUGUGGUAUUCUGGUUUGUGGUGACAGGUAGGGUCAGCUUUUAAUUGUGAUGUUAGGGUGUCAAUUUUGGAUCUUUCCUGCUUUCUCUUGUGGGCAUUUAGUGCUAUAAAUUUCCCUCUACACACUGCUUUGAAUGCAUCCCAGAGAUUCUGGUAUGUUGUGUCUUUGUUCUCGUUGGUUUCAAAGAACAUCUUUAUUUCUGCCUUCAUUUCGUUAUGUAUCCAGUAGUCAUUCAGGAGCAGGUUGUUCA